AUUCCUUUAAUAUGAAGGAGAGCUAUGGCAAGAAAGACUGACUUUUAAUAUCUAAAAAUAAUUUGGGAUCAUUGACACAAUUUUGUAAAAGAUCUAUCGUACUGAUUUAUCUCCACAGUUCAGUCAAGUAUCACUCUGAGCUCCGAUGUGUCAUUGUGAGUGUUGGAAUCGAAGCAAUGACAACCACAACCAAUCGUCUACCAACUACACCAGUGACAACAACCAUCAUCACUACAACAACCACACCAGCAACAACAACUACUCCAUCCACAACAUCCCUACCAACUGAAACAUCCAGCACUACACCGGCUACGACAUCCGCACAGACGACAGCCCCCACUCCCUCGACGACUGCAACCAAUACCACACCGGCUACGGCAUCCGCACAGACAACAGCCGCCACUCCCUCGACGACUGCAACCAAUACCACACCGGCUACGGCAUCCGCACAGACAACAGCCCCCACUCACUCGACGACUGCAACCAAUACCACACCGGCUACGGCAUCCGCACAGACAACAGCCCCCACUCCCUCGACGACUGCAACCAGCACUACGCCGGCUACGACAACCGCAAAAAUGACAGCAAACAUUCCCUCAACAACUACCCCACUAACUGCAACCAGCACUAAACCAACUAAAAAUGUUUCUUCUGCAUCAACUACACCACUAUCCACUACACCAGACAUUUUAAACACAAUUGUUGUAGCUCUGAGAAUGAGACUUUCGUCUUCGUCUCCACUGUCUGAGGAUGACAUCAGGAGCACCCUCAUACAACAGAUAAGAGAUGAACUGGUGAGAAGAGGGCUGCCAUCAGACAUGACUGUAAGCCUCGUCAGAAGUGUGUAAUCAACAUGUACAACCACAGCGCCCCCUGUUGAUUCAACGUGGAACUAUAUCAACCCCUGCAUGGGCAUUCCGUUCUCAUUUGAGUCAAAUUGACAACGGCAAUGUCAGCACUUUUACUUUCCCUGUUAAACAAACAUAAGAAUAAAUCCUGCAAGAUGAAUUUUAUUGAUCCUUGUGGAAAAAAUAUGGCACAGGUUAUGAAAUAUAUCUUCCAGAUUAGCCAGAAAAUCUGGUCAUUAUAUUGAAUAUUUAAAAAUGUUUAUUGGUCGUUGUAGUGCGUUUUUAAAUGUUUU
This is a long non-coding RNA of Anarrhichthys ocellatus (wolf-eel), 1141 nucleotides long. RefSeq lists it as uncharacterized. NCBI's taxonomy places the organism in Eukaryota, Metazoa, Chordata, Actinopteri, Perciformes, Anarhichadidae. The record is from RefSeq and is a predicted model, not a curated record. The transcript has 4 exons.